UUUCAUGCAAGUCUGACAGACCUGGAGCAAUUAAUGUCUGCUGCUAAGGUUUCCACAACAAAUGAAAGAAAAAAGAAAAAAGGUCUGUUUUCUGUCUGUCUGGUUGUGGCAACCAAGAUUAAAUAUGGGAAUACAAGA
Molecule: small nucleolar RNA, 138 nt
Filed under: Dasypus novemcinctus (nine-banded armadillo)
Lineage: Eukaryota; Metazoa; Chordata; Mammalia; Cingulata; Dasypodidae
Description: Small nucleolar RNA SNORA31 (ENSDNOG00000032081.1)
Source: RNAcentral